RNAcentral lists this ribosomal RNA (396 nucleotides) under uncultured bacterium. RNAcentral describes it as "partial 16S ribosomal RNA". It matches the Rfam family "Bacterial small subunit ribosomal RNA", at positions 523 to 918 of the family's 1533-position model. The record is from RNAcentral.
AUACGUAGGUGGCAAGCGUUGUCCGGAAUUAUUGGGCGUAAAGCGCAUGUAGGCGGUAAUUUAAGUCUGUCGUGAAACUGCGGGGCUCAGCCCCGUAUGGCGAUGGAAACUGGGUUACUUGAGUGCAGGAGAGGAAAGGGGAACUCCCAGUGUAGCGGUGAAAUGCGUAGAUAUUGGGAAGAACACCGGUGGCGAAGGCGCCUUUCUGGACUGUGUCUGACGCUGAGAUGCGAAAGCCAGGGUAGCGAACGGGAUUAGAUACCCCGGUAGUCCUGGCCGUAGACGAUGGGUACUAGGUGUGGGAGGUAUCGACCCCUUCCGUGCCGGAGUUAACGCAAUAAGUACCCCGCCUGGGGAGUACGGCCGCAAGGCUUAAACUCAAAUGAAUUGACGGGG